AAAGGCCUGGCUGGAGGGAGAUUAG
Molecule: non-coding RNA, 25 nt
Filed under: Cricetulus griseus (Chinese hamster)
Lineage: Eukaryota; Metazoa; Chordata; Mammalia; Rodentia; Cricetidae
Source: RNAcentral